RNAcentral lists this ribosomal RNA (447 nucleotides) under uncultured bacterium. RNAcentral describes it as "partial 16S ribosomal RNA". It matches the Rfam family "Bacterial small subunit ribosomal RNA", at positions 330 to 793 of the family's 1533-position model. The record is from RNAcentral.
GCCAGACUCCUACGGGAGGCAGCAGUGGGGAAUAUUGCACAAUGGGGGAAACCCUGAUGCAGCAACGCCGCGUGAGUGAGGAAGUAUUUCGGUAUGUAAAGCUCUAUCAGCAGGGAAUAGAAAAGAAGGUACCUGAAAAAGAAGCCCCGGCUAACUACGUGCCAGCAGCCGCGGUAAUACGUAGGGGGCAAGCGUUAUCCGGAUUCACUGGGUGUAAAGGGAGCGUAGACGGCGACGCAAGUCUGGAGUGAAAGCCCGGGGCCCAACCCCGGGACUGCAUUUGAAACUGUCAGGCUGGAGUGCAGGAGAGGUAAGUGGAAUUCCUAGUGUAGCGGUGAAAUGCGUAGAUAUUAGGAGGAACACCAGUGGCGAAGGCGGCUUACUGGACGACAACUGACGCUGAGGCUCGAAAGCGUGGGGAGCAAACAGGAUUAGAUACCCCUGUAA